Molecule: long non-coding RNA, 2747 nt
Filed under: Mytilus galloprovincialis (Mediterranean mussel)
Lineage: Eukaryota; Metazoa; Mollusca; Bivalvia; Mytilida; Mytilidae
Source: RNAcentral
UGUAUUUAAUGUAAAAAUUCAACUGCAACCAUAGUCAUUAAAAAUGUUCUCAUGUAAAAAUCUAUUUGUUCAUUCUAAUUUAAAACAUAAAUUCUACUUGUACUGUUGGAUUAUCAAAACAUGACCUUUGUUUCAUAGAAAUUCAAAAUUUAAUGUUCAUGUUACCUUGAAGCUCAAAUGGAGAAUGCAUACUUGAAUCAUAUGACAUAUACAAAGAACAAAGCAGUAUCAUGAACUUAUACAUUAUUCAUGUGAUUUUCAAACCAAAUUUUGCGACCAUAAAUAUAGAAAUUAACUGAUCAACUACUAUCAUUUAUAAAUGUCAACAUUGUAGCAUUUUUUUAUGUUCAUAAAAUUAAUUGAACACAAGUUUUGUUCUAUUUCAAAAAACAAAUUAUAAAUCAACCUUAAUUGCAAGGUAUGCUUAGAUUUGUAACUGCUAAAUGUGGACCAUUAAAUAUUUACUAUAUAUUUUACCUAUUUUUUAGGCAAAAAAAAAUCAUCAUCCAGCAUAAAUGAUCUGAACAUAAUGGGUCAAAGAUUCAAAAGGUUUCUUAAAUAAUGAAGAAUUGUCUUUCAUGGACGUUUAAAUAACAUACAUGAAGGUAUGAAAUGAAUGAAAAAAUGGGAAAGAAAAUCUGUAAAAAACACCAUAAUAAAUGUCAAACUUUCUGAGCUGUCUGCUGAAAUAUGUUUGUUGAAUAAAAAAAAGAAUAAGAUACAAAGUAAAUGGUAAAUAAAAGAGUUCAAAACAAUAUUUCAUGAUAAUUGAUGCAAAAUUUCAAUAUUUGUUCUCUUUUUCUGUGUCUUUCAAACAGCUGGGUAGAAAAAGUGUAGGUGUAAGUUGGACAAAAUGGGAACCUUCUUUUUCCUGCCAACCCCCUCCCAUUUUUGUGCAACCUUGACAACUAUCUGUUGAUACCACUGCUAGUAGGAUUUUUCCAGUAAAAGUGGUAGACUUACAGGCUAUUGAGAUUGGACCUGUUUAGACUGUCAUAGAACUUCUAUUAUGGUCUUUUCUGCACACAACAUAGUAUGUGUUAUAUGAUGAUCAUUGAACUCGUAUUUAAAACUAUAUUUUUGGUGUGACAACUUUGGUUAUCAAAUUGAACAAAACAAACUCAAUUUGUAUCUAGUAAUCAACUCCAGUUGUUCAGGCUUACAAACGAAAGAUUAGAUAAUUUCAAGUCAAAGAAAAGGCAAAAUUUCCCUGAAAAUUGGGUCAACCAAAACUAAUGCAAAAUCAUUUGAGUCAUUUUAUGAACAAUGGACUAUACAAUGAUGAUGAUAAUGUAAUGACACAACUGAGUAUAAAGAUUCAUUUAUGUGAUAGUUGAUGGUGUGAUAGAACGAAACUAUGAAAAAAAAGAAUAAAAAAAACAGAGCAAAUGAUAUUAUGGAGACUCAAAUAAUGGAUAGCUUCAUAAAAAGAAAUUACUAAUGGCAAAGUUUGUAUUGUGUCUCGUCUAGCUUAAAUUUGCACAAUUUUUUAUGACGAAUGUGAAGUUAUUUACAUUAUGUUACAACAUGAUAAUCUCUUUGUCAAAAAUUGUUCAACUGACAUAAAUGUUAAAAACAACAACAAUUUUUGUAACAUAAGAUGUAAAACAAAAAUAACGUGAAAGUACAUCUUAUGAACAUCUUAAUAUGCAAAAAUGCACAUGAACUAUAUGUGUUCAGUGUCUGAAGAUAUAAGCUGUAUUUGUACAAAGAUAAGAAACAGGUGAAAUGCAAGCUUCCGCAAUAUUAAGAGAAAAUAUAAAUACUUUAUCCUGCAAUUAAUUUGAGUAAUAUUUUAGAUCAACAUAGUUCAUUGACCAAGUUUUUAUCCAUAAUCUAUUGAAAGAUGUUAUAUUGCUAUUUUUCGAAAUAUUUUCAUUUGUUUCCAUAAACGUUAUAAUUUUCCAUCUUACACUACCAAAUUGAGAAAUAUUUGGUCCCGGUAGAACUGAGAAUGAGAUGAUGUCAUUAGCCAAAAGUUGUUGACAUUAUCUAGGAAUAUAGCUAUAAACAGAUUAACUAUGGUCUUUCAAACUUGAGGAAGCUUCUCUGCCUCAUCUCAGAGCUCAUACCUAUGAUAAAACUUUAGCUAAGAAACUUUCUCUACUUAUCUGAAUCAUUGAUAGUCUAUAAUCAACAUGCUACCAUGAAAAUUUAUUUCACAGAACAUCUUUUAAUGAAUUAAAAACAAUAAACACUUGUUCAAUAUUACCCAGGGAGGAUCAAGAGGUCAAAGGUUCAAUCAUAACAUGGGAACAAGAGGUCAAAUGCAAAAUCUUACUGAGGGAAUAAGAGGUCAAAGGUACAAUAUUACUAUGGGAGCAAGAGGUCAAAGGUUCAAUCUAACUGUGGGAACAAGAGGUCAAAUAUUCAAUCUUACUGUUGAAACAAGAUGUCAAAGAUUGAAUCUUAUUGUGGAAACAAAAAGUCAAAGGUUCAAUCUUACUGUGGGAAGAGGUCAAAGUAUUAAUCUUACUGUGGGAACAAGAGGUCAAAGGUAUAAGAACACAUGUUGACCUGUCUUCAAAUAUUUUUCUACAUCUCAUUUACAGUGUUUUAAAAAGUGUCAUGUGUAACAUACAGACAAAUCAUAUUCUAAAUAUAUGGAACAAUAAUCAUUACCGAAACUGAAAUAAAGUUAAAAGUAUAAAAAACAAGUUUUGCAUAAUUCACCUCAAAAAGGAGUCUGACAGUGCAUAAAAAAAAAUUAAUUCAAUGUAAAUAACUGUCUUAAAAUAUUUGAAAUG